UGUUUACUGUAAAUCACAAUACCAUAACAGAGAGUCCUUCUAUUUUUCUCUUCGCAAUUUGCAAAUCUUUCAGUCUUUUAGAUAGAAAGUUGCCUUCUUUCAUUGCAACGAAAGAAAUCAUGGCCAUUACCUUUCAGCAACUGUUUUUCAUAACCUUCAGUCCUUUAAACCUUUCCCGUAACUACGCAUACAAAACCCCAGCGAAUUGUUGAUGAUUCAUCGUCACUCUAUUUUGGCUCCAAAAAUUAACGAUGCUCAAAACAAUCUUAUUGUCAAAGGCUUAUUUCCUGUGCGAUUCUCUUAAGAAGAAAAACAAGAAGAUAAGAGAAUCCCAAACAUAAAGGAGGCCUGAUCUCCCUCGUUGUCCGGCAGUAUGCAACAACACCUGUAUCAACAAGAAGAAGAGGUUGAACAACUCCUUAUCUCCCAGAAAACACGCUUAUGCUUUAACAGUGGCAGUGCAUGGGUCCAUGUCCAUUACUAUUAUAGCACGUUUCCAGCAUCUUUUGAAGGUGUUAAGAGUCUAUGCUGCAGCAUGGAAACUAAGGGGUAUGAAGACAUCGAGGAAGUUUACUAUUGAGAUGGAACAAAGUCGGGAAGCAAUACCUUGCAAUGCUGCAUGAAAUUGGAUUGUUGUUUGAUGGUUUUUGUUAUGUCGAUGUGUGUUUUGGUUGCUUGAUUUGUGUUCGGUUUUGUUUUUGCAAAAGAAAUCAUGUCAUUUUGAACUACUUGCUUAAAAUCAUGGACAUUCCUAUUUGCAUAAAAAUAAUUUCAAUUAACCAAACCUCAUGAUAUUUCAUUUUGAUUUCAAUGAAAUUUCUCUCAAAUACAAUUUCAUUUUGCUCAUACAUUUUGUAUAUCUUUUUUCUAUUAUUAAUAUAGACGUUCGGGCUAACUUGCGCACACCUCGACUAGUCCCACAUGCCCUGAAGUUAACAAUCAUAUAAGCCUCUAGUGGCCCUGAGGUUUAUGAGACUCGAACUUGUGACCUUUAGGAAGCAUACCCAAGACCUGACCAGUUAAGCUACACCCUUCAAGGUUACAUUUUGUAUAUCUUGUCUUGGUUUGUGACUGCCAUUUUCGUUUAUAUACAUUUUAUUGUUUUUUUCAAGUUUUUGUAUGUGUAUAUAUAAUACAUUGAAAUAAGUCCACGGUGAUGAUGGCAAUCAUAUAUGUUUGUGUGUUGAUUGAAAUUGUGUGAUUGGUUUUCUCUAUUUUUGCAUCAUUGAGUUUUGAAGCCACCAUAUUCCUAGGUUUUUUUUAUUUAAUUUUAUGUGUUAGUGAAUUUUUUUUUCUUAUCUAAGAACCAACCCAAUGAUUUUAAGAUGUAUAAUAGUGUCCUCUCCCUCUAAAGUUGAAAGAAAACAUAAAUGGUCAAUACAUGAUUUUACUUUUAAAAUGAUAUUUUUUUUUUUUUUGUUUAUGGACCUAUGAUUUUGAUAAUAGCCCAAAAAUACUUUUUUCGAUCCAGUUUUUUGAUUAUCCAGUCAAUCAUCAUCCUAUUAGCAGAGUUACUUUCAGGAUGACAACAUUUAAUUAUUUUUUUCUAAGAACAUAUACAAUAAACAAUUUGUAAAUAUUAUUUAAUAAUUAUGCACUUAAAUUCUAAAUGUGUGUGAAUGCUCGCUUAAGUAAAAAAGUACCUCUUGGUAAUUAAUUUAGGAUAGAUCAUUAGGUUUGACUGCUUAAAAAAACUAUAUGAGCUUGAUGAGGAUUUUGGUGAGUUGUGAGAGAAGUGUUAGAGUUAGAAUAUGCUUGAUGACUUAUAUAUAUAUAUAUAUAUAUAUAUAUAUAUAUAUAUAUAUAUAUAUAUAUAUAUAUAUAUAUAUUCUUGAUGAGAGGUAAUCAAUUUUCCAUCCUUCAUUUUUUAUCACAAGAAAAAGGGAUUUGAUAUUUGCAUGAGUGGGGCUUGACUAGUCACUUGAGGUGAAAAAAGACCAUUGUUGUUGUUACGGAGAAGUAUUAUUAGCCUUAAUUGAAACAAGAUAUUGGUAAUUUUGUGAAAAAAUACUGCAUUUAUAAAACUGCCAAAGAGCAACCAUAAAAUAUUACCUUUAUAUAUAUAUAUAUAUACUAAUUCUUGAGAAUAAAUAGGAGGACUUGUUUAUGAUUUUGUACUUGGAUUACCCCAUGCAUAAAGGAGAAUGAAUUUUGUAUUUGUUAUUGUUGAUAAAUUCUCAAACAUAAAUUUUAUUUCUUAUAAGGAGACAAAUGAUGUUUUUGCAA
Long non-coding RNA from Populus trichocarpa (black cottonwood), 2226 nucleotides. RefSeq lists it as uncharacterized. The record is from RefSeq and is a predicted model, not a curated record. NCBI's taxonomy places the organism in Eukaryota, Viridiplantae, Streptophyta, Magnoliopsida, Malpighiales, Salicaceae. The transcript is spliced from 2 exons.